Small nucleolar RNA from Rhododendron vialii, 107 nucleotides. RefSeq annotates it as small nucleolar RNA snoR100. The record is from RefSeq and is a predicted model, not a curated record. NCBI's taxonomy places the organism in Eukaryota, Viridiplantae, Streptophyta, Magnoliopsida, Ericales, Ericaceae. The transcript has a single exon.
GAAUGAAGGAAGCAUGGUAAUGUGCACAAAAAAUGAUUUGAGUCUCUAGGCCUGUCCUCUCUGAUGCCUUUUGGCUUCGAUUUGGGGCAUGGUUCCGCAGCAAAACG